UAUCACGUGGCAAAGGCUGAGCUGGCUGUAGGUAUACAGCAGGCACUCGGCAAGUCUUAGUUUUGGUGAAUGGUGUUUCCACAUUGGGUCAGCACAUAUGGACCCAAAACAAAGUGUGGGUCAGAAGCUUCUUGAGAAUCAGAACGCCACCUUCACUGCCAGCAAAGCUUCCUGGAUGAGGUUCCGCCCCAGCAACUUUGUAAUCUAGCGUGUUUGAAGUGUCUAAAGACUCCCAGCAUAAUGAAUGGAGAGAAGUGGAUGCAAGCUCCAUUUUGCUCACAAAGAUGUUACAGGACCAACAGGUUCGUAUGCCCAUUGCACAGUAACAGACCAACUACACUGGGACAGCAGAGUUUGCAGCAGAGAAAGAGUUUAAUGAUCACAAGGCUCCAAGAAAGGAGAUGGAAGGAGACCCUCAAAUCCAUCACCCUGAGGAGCU
This 439-nucleotide long non-coding RNA is filed under the name Rhinopithecus bieti (black snub-nosed monkey). RNAcentral's name for it is "lncRNA (ENSRBIG00000045621.1)". The record is from RNAcentral. Lineage: Eukaryota; Metazoa; Chordata; Mammalia; Primates; Cercopithecidae.